RNAcentral lists this ribosomal RNA (321 nucleotides) under Thermoleptolyngbya sp. M55_K2018_002. Its description in RNAcentral is "partial 23S ribosomal RNA". It matches the Rfam family "Bacterial large subunit ribosomal RNA", at positions 2605 to 2925 of the family's 2925-position model. Lineage: Bacteria; Bacillati; Cyanobacteriota; Cyanophyceae; Oculatellales; Oculatellaceae. The record is from RNAcentral.
CUGGGUUCAGAACGUCGUGAGACAGUUCGGUCCAUAUCCGGUGCAGGCGUAAGAGUAUUGAGAGGAUUCUUCCUUAGUACGAGAGGACCGGGAAGAACGCACCGCUGGUGUACCUGUUAUCGUGCCAACGGUAGACGCAGGGUAGCCAAGUGCGGAGUGGAUAACCGCUGAAAGCAUCUAAGUGGGAAGCCCACCUCAAGAUGAGUACUCUCAUGGCAAAAGCCAGUAAGGUCACCCGCAGAACACGGGUUAAUAGGCUCUAGAUGGAAGUGCAGUGAUGUAUGAAGUCGAGGAGUACUAACAGACCGAGGGCUUGACCUC